Molecule: ribosomal RNA, 499 nt
Filed under: uncultured Glomeromycotina
Lineage: Eukaryota; Fungi; Glomeromycota
Description: partial small subunit ribosomal RNA
Rfam family: Eukaryotic small subunit ribosomal RNA
Source: RNAcentral
CCAAUAGCGUAUAUUAAAGUUGUUGCAGUUAAAAAGCUCGUAGUUGAAUUUCGGGACCAGUAUGUCGGUCGUGCUUCGGUACGUACUUGCAUUAUUGGUUUCUCCCUUCUGACGAACCAUGAUGUCAUUAAUUUGAUGUCAUGGGAAAUCAGGACUGUUACUUUGAAAAAAUUAGAGUGUUUAAAGCAGGCUCGCGCUUGGAUACAUUAGCAUGGAAUAAUGAAAUAGGACGUUUGAUUCUAUUUUGUUGGUUUCUAGGAUCGACGUAAUGAUUAAUAGGGAUAGUUGGGGGCAUUAGUAUUCAAUUGUCAGAGGUGAAAUUCUUGGAUUUAUUGAAGACUAACUACUGCGAAAGCAUUUGCCAAGGAUGUUUUCAUUAAUCAAGAACGAAAGUUAGGGGAUCGAAGACGAUCAGAUACCGUCGUAGUCUUAACCAUAAACUAUGCCGACUAGGGAUCGGAUGAUGUUAAUUUUUUAAUGACUCAUUCGGCGCCUUACG